UGUCUCCACCCGAGACUCAGUGAAAUUGAACUCGCUGUGAAGAUGCAGUGUACCCGCGGCAAGACGGAAAGACCCCGUGAACCUUUACUAUAGCUUGACACUGAACAUUGAGCCUUGAUGUGUAGGAUAGGUGGGAGGCUUUGAAGUGUGGACGCCAGUCUGCAUGGAGCCGACCUUGAAAUACCACCCUUUAAUGUUUGAUGUUCUAACGUUGGCCCGUAAUCCGGGUUGCGGACAGUGUCUGGUGGGUAGUUUGACUGGGGCGGUCUCCUCCUAAAGAGUAACGGAGGAGCACGAAGGUUGGCUAAUCCUGGUCGGACAUCAGGAGGUUAGUGCAAUGGCAUAAGCCAGCUUGACUGCGAGCGUGACGGCGCGAGCAGGUGCGAAAGCAGGUCAUAGUGAUCCGGUGGUUCUGAAUGGAAGGGCCAUCGCUCAACGGAUAAAAGGUACUCCGGGGAUAACAGGCUGAUACCGCCCAAGAGUUCAUAUCGACGGCGGUGUUUGGCACCUCGAUGUCGGCUCAUCACAUCCUGGGGCUGAAGUAGGUCCCAAGGGUAUGGCUGUUCGCCAUUUAAAGUGGUACGCGAGCUGGGUUUAGAACGUCGUGAGACAGUUCGGUCCCUAUCUGCCGUGGGCGCUGGAGAACUGAGGGGGGCUGCUCCUAGUACGAGAGGACCGGAGUGGACGCAUCACUGGUGUUCGGGUUGUCAUGCCAAUGGCACUGCCCGGUAGCUAAAUGCGGAAGAGAUAAGUGCUGAAAGCAUCUAAGCACGAAACUUGCCCCGAGAUGAGUUCUCCCUGAGACUUAGAGUCUCCUGAAGGAACGUUGAAGACGACGACGUUGAUAGGCCGGGUGUGUAAGCGCAGCGAUGCGUUGAGCUAACCGGUACUAAUGAACCGUGAGGCUUAACCUUACAACGCCGAAG
RNAcentral lists this ribosomal RNA (926 nucleotides) under Escherichia coli. RNAcentral's name for it is "partial 23S ribosomal RNA". It matches the Rfam family "Bacterial large subunit ribosomal RNA", at positions 2017 to 2925 of the family's 2925-position model. Lineage: Bacteria; Pseudomonadati; Pseudomonadota; Gammaproteobacteria; Enterobacterales; Enterobacteriaceae. The record is from RNAcentral.